Molecule: ribosomal RNA, 615 nt
Filed under: uncultured bacterium
Lineage: Bacteria
Description: bacterial SSU rRNA
Rfam family: Bacterial small subunit ribosomal RNA (bases 1-543)
Source: RNAcentral
CCUACGGGAGGCAGCAGUGGGGAAUUUUGGACAAUGGGCGCGAGCCUGAUCCAGCCAUGCCGCGUGCGGGAAGAAGGCCUUCGGGUUGUAAACCGCUUUUGUCAGGGAAGAAAAGGUCUGGGCUAAUAACCUGGGCUGAUGACGGUACCUGAAGAAUAAGCGCCGGCUAACUACGUGCCAGCAGCCGCGGUAAUACGUAGGGUGCAAGCGUUAAUCGGAAUUACUGGGCGUAAAGCGUGCGCAGGCGGUUCCAUAAGACAGAUGUGAAAUCCCCGGGCUCAACCUGGGAACUGCAUUUGUGACUGUGGAGCUAGAGUACGGUAGAGGGGGGAUGGAAUUCCGCGUGUAGCAGUGAAAUGCGUAGAUAUGCGGAGGAACACCGAUGGCGAAGGCAAUCCCCUGGACCUGUACUGACGCUCAUGCACGAAAGCGUGGGGAGCAAACAGGAUUAGAUACCCUGGUAGUCCACGCCCUAAACGAUGUCAACUGGUUGUUGGGAAGGUUCCUUCUCAGUAACGUAGCUAACGCGUGAAGUUGACCGCCUGGGGGAGGACGGCGCGAGUAGAACGACAAGAAGUAGAGCGNGAGAGNGCGACGACGACGACGAGGAGGAGG